This is a non-coding RNA of Dallia pectoralis (Alaska blackfish), 75 nucleotides long. The record is from the annotation of a GenBank genome assembly. Lineage: Eukaryota; Metazoa; Chordata; Actinopteri; Esociformes; Umbridae.
GGAGGAGUUGGUAUCUCAGUGGUAGAGGCUAGCUUUGUGUGCAUGAUGUCCUGGGUUCAAUCCCCAGCUUCUCCC